RNAcentral lists this ribosomal RNA (512 nucleotides) under uncultured bacterium. RNAcentral's name for it is "bacterial SSU rRNA". It matches the Rfam family "Bacterial small subunit ribosomal RNA", at positions 17 to 518 of the family's 1533-position model. The record is from RNAcentral.
UACUGGCUCAGGAUGAACGCUAGCUACAGGCUUAACACAUGCAAGUCAGGGGCAUCAUGGAGUUGCUUGCAAACUCUGAUGGCGACCGGCGCACGGGUGAGUAACGCGUAUCCAACCUUCCCUAUAGUAGAGGAUAGCCCGGCGAAAGUCGGAUUAAUACUCUAUGUUUUCCGUUGCAGACAUCUAAGAUGGAACAAAGGCUUGCCGCUAUAGGAUGGGGGAUGCGUCUGAUUAGGUAGUCGGCGGGGUAACGGCCCACCGAGCCAUCGAUCAGUAGGGGUUCUGAGAGGAAGGUCCCCCACAUUGGAACUGAGACACGGUCCAAACUCCUACGGGAGGCAGCAGUGAGGAAUAUUGGUCAAUGGGCGAGAGCCUGAACCAGCCAAGUAGCCGUGCAGGACGACGGCCCUAUGGGUUGUAAACUGCUUUUAUGCGGGGAUAAAGUUCACUACGUGUAGUGUUUUGUAGGUACCGCAUGAAUAAGGACCGGCUAAUUCCGUGCCAGCCGCCGC